Long non-coding RNA from Manis pentadactyla (Chinese pangolin), 834 nucleotides. RefSeq lists it as uncharacterized. The record is from RefSeq and is a predicted model, not a curated record. The transcript has 4 exons. Lineage: Eukaryota; Metazoa; Chordata; Mammalia; Pholidota; Manidae.
GGGUUCAGGCCCAGGAACCCAGUUCCCCUGGUCAUUGUUGUGAGAUGGAAGAUUUCCAGGGCCAGCUGUAGAAGGAAGAGAACUGAGCCGCCCUGCACAUGCUCCAUGGGAGCCCCACGGAAGCCGGAAGGGUCUGUGUGUGUGCGCGGGUGUGUGUUCCAGACCCCAGCCGGGUGCAGAAGGGAUGCAGGACAGCGCAGGGGCCUGGGGCGUUUAGAAGAGGAAUGAAGGCAGAGCAUGGUGGGGAGGUGGGGCCCAGGGCUGGGGUCCCGUCCCUUUUGACUUAAGGGCUCCAUCCAUCCUUAUCUUCCCUUGCUCCCCAUUCCCCGAGUAUUUCAUGCUGCAGAGAGACCCUCUAGACAGUUGUCCUGGGAAGAAGAGGGGGCUGAUCUGGCAAAAUGAGCAAGGACAGAAGGACCGUGCACUGUGUCCCAAGAACCACAAGCCACGUGUUUGCUGGGACCAGGGUUUCUUGGAAUGAGAGUUGUGGCCACUACCUGCAACCAAGCCCUGGCGAAGUGCUAGCCCCUGUCUCAGCUGCCCAUGGAUCCUCUCUCCUUGCACACCUCAGCCUGCACCAGCUGCCACUGUGAAGCCAACCCGCUCCUGAGGCUUUGGAAGAUCUGGCCCGAUCUUCAGGCAUGGCCCAGAUGUCAUCUUUACUGGAGUCUCAGGGAACUUAUGUGUCUCUGGAACAUCCUAAAUAUCAAGAUCCUUGGGGUGUUCUAACCACCUUACUGCAGAGGAAACCCUACGGCUACAGGAGGCUGACACCUGUGCAGCCUUGUAAUCCUGGGGCUGACUAAAUCUGGAAUAAAUAGCACCAAAGACAUA